This 235-nucleotide long non-coding RNA is filed under the name Marmota monax (woodchuck). Lineage: Eukaryota; Metazoa; Chordata; Mammalia; Rodentia; Sciuridae. The record is from RNAcentral.
UCCUAUUGCAUGUGGGUUCGACGCGUCCACGCCCCGCCCCACGAAAAAAGGCGUCGGCUGAUAUGGCCUCGGAUCUGGGGAAGGGCCCUCCUUAGGACUGAGCCAUACUAUGCAGCCACUUCUGCACAGUGGGAUAGGACCUCUACUCUCGCCUGUAUUGUUUUAAGAAAACAGAAAGGGGGAACUGUGGUGAGCCGCUUCUGCCGUUUCUGCAGACUAUGGUCGCCAUUACAAG